This 329-nucleotide unclassified non-coding RNA is filed under the name soil metagenome. RNAcentral's name for it is "partial contains 5.8S ribosomal RNA, internal transcribed spacer 2, and large subunit ribosomal RNA". The stretch from base 1 to 120 matches the Rfam family "5.8S ribosomal RNA", at positions 35 to 154 of the family's 154-position model. The record is from RNAcentral.
GAUGAAGAACGCAGCGAAAUACGAUAAGUAGUGUGAAUUGCAGAAUUCAGUGAAUCAUCGAAUCUUUGAACGCACAUUGCGCCCCUUGGUAUCCCGAGGGGCAUGCCUGUUCGAGCGUCAUUUCACCACUCAAGCCUGGCUUGGUGUUGGGCGACGUCCUCUUUGGGGACGCGCCUCGAAACGCUCGGCGGCGUGGCACCGGCUUUAAGCGUAGCAGAAUCUUUCGCUUUGGAAGUCGGGGCCCCGUCUGCCGGAAGACCUGCUCGCAAGGUUGACCUCGGAUCAGGCAGGGAUACCCGCUGAACUUAAGCAUAUCAAUAAGCGGAGGA